Molecule: long non-coding RNA, 386 nt
Organism: Haliotis rubra (blacklip abalone)
Lineage: Eukaryota; Metazoa; Mollusca; Gastropoda; Lepetellida; Haliotidae
Exons: 4
Source: RefSeq, a predicted model, not a curated record
UCGGCAGCGCAUAAAGAAGAAGGAUCUGGUUUAACACAUGUGUCCGGAAAAGGGGGAAUUGCACGUUGCACCACACGGAGAAACACAUAGUAGUCAUUUGCAAGAACGUCAUAUCCAGUGGAGUCGUAGUAAGAUUGAAUCAUGCCACCUAAGAAGAAGGAAGAAGUGAAACCUGCACCUCUUAUUGGUAGAGUUGGUACAAACCUGAAAAUUGGUAUUGUUGGACUUCCGAAUGUCGGAAAGUCCACCUUUUUCAACGUGUUGACAAAGAGUCAAGCUACAGCAGAGAAUUUUCCCUUCUGUACCAUAGAUCCGAAUGAAAGCCGCGUACCAGUGCCAGACAUGAGGUGGGAUCAUCUAGUUGAGCACUACAAGCCAGUCAGGUA